CACCGCCCGUCACAUCACGAAAGUGGAUUGUACUAGAAGUCCGCGAGCCGACCGCAAGGAGGCAGCGGCCCAAGGUAUGAUCCACGAUUGGGGUG
Molecule: ribosomal RNA, 95 nt
Filed under: uncultured bacterium
Lineage: Bacteria
Description: partial 16S ribosomal RNA
Rfam family: Bacterial small subunit ribosomal RNA
Source: RNAcentral